RNAcentral lists this ribosomal RNA (467 nucleotides) under uncultured bacterium. Its description in RNAcentral is "partial 16S ribosomal RNA". It matches the Rfam family "Bacterial small subunit ribosomal RNA", at positions 28 to 507 of the family's 1533-position model. The record is from RNAcentral.
GAUGAACGCUGGCGGCGUGCUUAACACAUGCAAGUCGAACGGUGAAGCAGAGCUUGCUCUGUGGAUCAGUGGCGAACGGGUGAGUAACACGUGAGCAACCUGCCCCUGACUCUGGGAUAAGCGCUGGAAACGGCGUCUAAUACUGGAUAUGAGCUGCGGCCGCAUGGUCAGCAGUUGGAAAGAUUUUUCGGUCUGGGAUGGGCUCACGGCCUAUCAGCUUGUUGGUGAGGUAAUGGCUCACCAAGGCGUCGACGGGUAGCCGGCCUGAGAGGGUGACCGGCCACACUGGGACUGAGACACGGCCCAGACUCCUACGGGAGGCAGCAGUGGGGAAUAUUGCACAAUGGGCGAAAGCCUGAUGCAGCAACGCCGCGUGAGGGAUGACGGCCUUCGGGUUGUAAACCUCUUUUAGCAGGGAAGAAGCGAAAGUGACGGUACCUGCAGAAAAAGCGCCGGCUAACUACGUG